CAGUCGCCGCGGGAAUACGUAGGGUGCAAGCGUUAAUCGGAAUUACUGGGCGUAAAGCGUGCGCAGGCGGUUAUAUAAGUCAGAUGUGAAAUCCCCGGGCUCAACCUGGGAACUGCAUUUGAGACUGUAUGGCUAGAGUGUGUCAGAGGGGGGUAGAAUUCCACGUGUAGCAGUGAAAUGCGUAGAUAUGUGGAGGAACACCGAUGGCGAAGGCAGCCCCCUGGGCCAAUACUGACGCUCAUGCACGAAAGCGUGGGGAGCAAACAGGAUUAGAUACCCCUGUAGUCCCUGUCUCUUAUAC
This 301-nucleotide ribosomal RNA is filed under the name uncultured bacterium. Its description in RNAcentral is "partial 16S ribosomal RNA". It matches the Rfam family "Bacterial small subunit ribosomal RNA", at positions 509 to 807 of the family's 1533-position model. The record is from RNAcentral.